This 305-nucleotide ribosomal RNA is filed under the name uncultured bacterium. RNAcentral describes it as "partial 16S ribosomal RNA". It matches the Rfam family "Bacterial small subunit ribosomal RNA", at positions 335 to 658 of the family's 1533-position model. The record is from RNAcentral.
UGCCUACGGGGGGCAGCAGUGGGGGAUAUUGCACAAUGGGGGGAACCCUGAUGCAGCGACGCCGCGUGGGUGAAGGAGCGUUUCGGCGCGUAAAGCCCUAUCGGCAGGGAAGAAGGAGGACGGUACCUGACUAAGAAGCCCCGGCUAACUACGUGCCAGCAGCCGCGGUAAUACGUAGGGGGCAAGCGUUAUCCGGAUUUACUGGGUGUAAAGGGUGCGUAGGCGGGCUUUUAAGUCAGCGGUAAAAAUUCGGGGCUCAACCCCGUCCGGCCGUUGAAACUGGGGGCCUUGAGUGGGCGAGAAGG